Molecule: unclassified non-coding RNA, 191 nt
Filed under: uncultured fungus
Lineage: Eukaryota; Fungi
Description: sequence contains ITS2
Source: RNAcentral
UCACCCCUCAAGCCCGGCUUGUUGUUGGACGCCGGCGGGGCCUCUCGGGGCCCCGCCCGUCUCAAAGAUAAUGACGGCGUCUGUGAGGACUCCUGUACACUGAGCUUUCGGGCACGUACUAGGCUAGAACUCCAGGCCCGGUCUUUUGGCUUGUCGCCCGUAACACGGCGGCCGGCCGCACUUUUUUACAA